AUGGCGUCCACCGGAGCCGUCCCCUGCUCCGUCCUCCUGCUCCUCCUCCUCUGCGCGUCCCCGCUGUGCCAGGGCCAGGCCGGACGGCACAACAUCACGGAGACCCUCGCCGCCGCCAGCCCGGACUUCGCCCAGUUCAGCGCCGCCCUGGCCGCCGCGAACCUCAGCGCCGAGAUCGACGGGCGCAGCCCCGUCACCGUCCUCGCCGUCGACAACGCCGCCGUGGCGCGGCUCGGGGAGCGGCGCCUCCAGCCGGACGCCCUCGCGCGCGUGCUCUCCCUGCACGUCCUCCUCGACUACCUCGGCGACGCCAGGCUCCGUACCCUCGACGGCGGGUUCAGGCAGGCCGCCAGCCUCUACCAGGCCCACGGCGCGCCGGGGGCCGCCGGCAUCGUGAACAUCACGCGGGGCGGCAAGGACGACCACGUCUCGUUCCGGCCAGCGGAGGGGGUGAACGGGACCGCCGCCGUGUUCUACGUGAAGUCGGUCAAGGAGGCGCCCUGGGACAUCGCCGUGCUGCAGGUGAGCGACGCCAUCUCGUCCUUCACCGCCGAGGCGAAGGUGCCCACGCCGCCGGCCCCGGCUCCUGCUCCCAAGGCGCCUGCGCCUGCUCCUCUGGCGCCGGUCGUGGCCCCUGCACCUGCUAAGGCCCCGGCGGCCCUGCCUCCGUCGCCAAAGAACCACACCGCGCCACCGCCGAAGCCGGCCAAAGAGCCCGUGCCUUCGCCAACGCCCGUGGUGGAGACGCCGGCGGAAGGACCUGGGGCGGACGGAGAUCAGCCGCCUGCCGACGAGCACAAGAGUGGCGCCAGCGACUCGGAGCCGUGGAGCCUCGGCGCGGUGGUGGCGGUGGCCGUGCCGGUCGUCGUGUUUCUGCUGUGGUGA
This 885-nucleotide ribosomal RNA is filed under the name Triticum aestivum (bread wheat). RNAcentral describes it as "partial small subunit ribosomal RNA". Lineage: Eukaryota; Viridiplantae; Streptophyta; Magnoliopsida; Poales; Poaceae. The record is from RNAcentral.